UAGGAGUCUCUUUCUCCCUGCUUCGGAUGCUGACUAGGCUCACCGGAAACGGAAGCCCGGGCUACUCAUUUCCUUUGACUGGCAUCCCCAAGGGCACCGGUGUCUUUAUUAUUUUUAGGACAUGGCAAGAUGGUGGAAACGGAAGAACUCGACAGCACGAAUACACACGGCAGGGUGGUGACGACAUCCUGUGCAUUUGAGGACCUGCAAUGAAACCAGAAGCCUACUCUAUCGUGGUAGCACAUGUAUAAUAAGCAGAGGCGUGCAGGAAAGAAAAAGAACACAACUGAGACAAAAUAGAGCUUCUAGGACUUUAGUCAAAGGCAGAAAGUGAUUUAACCUUGACAGUGAUGACGUCCUGAGCUGGUUCACUCUGCUGCCUCAUAGGCUGCUCGCAUCCUGGGUGUUACGAGCUGGGGACCGAACCAGGGCCUUGCGCUUCCUAGAAUUACCAAGUUGGACAGAAUAUUAUUCUACUGACAGCUGUCACUUGGCCGAUUUUAAAAUCUUCCUCAUUGUAUGUCUGUUACGGGGACUGGGCACGUGGUGUAUUACAAGGACACCCAGCAAAUCUUCAACAUCAUCUGAACAGUGGUUCUCAGCCUUCCUGAUGCUUUGACCCUUCAAUACAGUUCCUCACAUCGUGAUGACUCCCAACCAGAAAAUCGUUUUUGUCUCUACUUCAUCACUGCAGUUUUGCUACUGUUAUAAAUCAUUAUGUAAAUAUGUGAUAUGCAGGAAAUCUGAUAUGUGACCCCUGUGAAAGGGUCAUUUGACCCCCAAAUGGGUCGCAACCCCCGGGGUGUAAGCCACUGGUGUAGGAGCACAAAUAACCACUGAAGGCCCUUGAUUUGGUUUUUCUUUUGUGUAAGCCAGUGGCUGAUUCCGCAUGCAGAGCUCAAGGAGGGUUUGUAACGAAGUUUUCCCCUUCUACACUUGUUUCCCAGAUUCUCAGUUCCUCUUUCAAGGGUACACGGUGUGGAUCGGGUGUCACUCCAUGUUUUACGUACAUCUAAGCUGCAUUUGUGACACUGAUCUCACUCAGCCCUAUUAAAAAUUUCGGAAUGUACCAGGCACACUUUAGAUUUGCUUCUCUCUCUCUCUGUCUCUCUCUCUCGUCUCUGUCUCUUUCUCUCUCUGUCUCUCUAUCUCUCUCUCUCUGUCUUGUCUCUCUCUCUCUGUCUCUCUCUGUCUCUCUGUCUCUCUGUCUCUCUCUCUUGUCUCUGUCUCUCUGUCUCUCUCUCUGUCUCUCUCUCUGUCUCUGUCUCUCUCUCUCUCAAUGGCAGUUUGAUAAUUCAUCUAACUAAUUUUCUGGUUGACAUACAUAGCCAUUUCUACAGCAAUCAGUAUUUUUAUAGGGAAAAAAACUCCUGCUGUUGGAAUUGCUGGGUCACUUCGGAAGUGUCAGAUUUCCCCGGAUGCUUUCCGUAGACGCAGCACUACCUGAGUUGCCCCCAGCAGGGCGCUUUGGUACCUACAUCCCACUCUACCCACAGCGCCACACAUUUUCUGUCCUGUAUCACCGGGGUAGCAGAACACAAGUAGCUCGGAUAGUUGUGAGUUGCAUUUCUCUUCCGGUGAGUGACACUGUUUCUUGGCAGAGCUGACUCUGCAGUCUAGCAGUCAGAGCGAGGCCAGGAGGAGCGCACAGCUCAGAGUAAUUAAGGGACUUGUCCAAGGGUACAAGAGACACAGAGGCAGGGCAAAGGCAGAAGUCUUUCUUUUUGUGGAUUACCUGGAUCUUGAAAUCUAGCAUUUAAGAGCCUGAGGCAGGAUGUUAUUAGUUCAACGCCUUCCUAGGUUAUACAGUGAGACUUUGUCUAAAAAAAAAAAAAAAAUCAAGCACAGGUGAUGUGCUCGUUCAAGUAGGUAAAGACAGCCCGAGUCAGUCCCCAAGAUCCACAAGGUGGGAGGAGGAACCAACUCCUAACAGUUGUCCUCUGACCUUCUUCAUGUGCACACACACUUCAUGAAUAAAUGAAAAUUUAAAUAACGUUUAAGUAAAUCAAACAAGAAAAUACAUUCUUCUGAGGUCACACAUUUUACUCAUUUAAAACGUGUAAGUUAUGGGGUAGAGAAAUGGCUCCCCAUAAAUUAAGUUAAGCUAGGUUAAGCUCCUGUUCUUCUAAAGAACUUGAGUCUGGUUCCCAGCGCCAACUCUGUCAGCACAGAACUCCAGUUCUAGGAGACUCCAUGCUCUCUUCUGGUCUACUUAGACAUUCACAUACACACGUUAUAUACAUAUAUAUAUAUAUAUAGAUAGAUAGAUAUAGAUAUAGAUAUAUAGAUAUAGAUAUACACACACAUACACAUGCAUGGAAAUAAUCAUAACAAUAAAAAAUUAAAUAUAUGAAUCAGAGGGCUAGAAAGAUAUUUCACUAAUUAGAAGUUCUCCCUGAUGCCAGAGGACCAGGGUUUGGCUCCUGGCAUCUGUUUUGGGUGGCUCACAAUUGCUUCUAAUUCUAGCUCCAAGGGGUCAGACACCCUCUUCUGGCCUUUGAGGGUAACCACAUGGAAAACACAUGCACAUACACAACUAAAAAAGUAAAUAAAUUUUAAAAAAUGUUUAAAUAUA
Long non-coding RNA from Rattus norvegicus (Norway rat), 2575 nucleotides. RefSeq lists it as uncharacterized. The record is from RefSeq and is a predicted model, not a curated record. NCBI's taxonomy places the organism in Eukaryota, Metazoa, Chordata, Mammalia, Rodentia, Muridae.